ACUCGAGCCUAGAAGUUGUCAUGCAAAUGAUCCCUAUAUUGAAGUCUCUAACAAGAGUUUGACUCACACAGGCAGUGAGUCAACUCAAGUCUAUCUCUACGCACGUUCAACUUCCUCGAAAGUUGAUUGAUCAUACGACCCCUACAGAAAGGAGAUGAGAAGCAAAAGUAGAUAAACAUCACAAGCAAACAGCACACACUAUACGCAAACAAGUGGGCUCAAGCAAG
RNAcentral lists this long non-coding RNA (227 nucleotides) under Lathyrus oleraceus (garden pea). RNAcentral's name for it is "Pisum sativum (pea) long non-coding RNA (PSAT_LNC030371)". The record is from RNAcentral. Lineage: Eukaryota; Viridiplantae; Streptophyta; Magnoliopsida; Fabales; Fabaceae.